RNAcentral lists this small RNA (371 nucleotides) under Arabidopsis thaliana (thale cress). Its description in RNAcentral is "ATSL137410". The stretch from base 1 to 54 matches the Rfam family "Small nucleolar RNA U30", at positions 34 to 86 of the family's 86-position model. Lineage: Eukaryota; Viridiplantae; Streptophyta; Magnoliopsida; Brassicales; Brassicaceae. The record is from RNAcentral.
UGAAUUUUUGUUAAUGAAGAUACUUACUUCCCAACCAUUCAUUAAUAUCUGAGCACCUUCGUCUUUAUUCAGUUUUAUGUUUUUUUGAUGAUCGCACAUAGUUCUUCUUCGAAGCCUUUAGAUUCGCUCUAAAAGUGGUUUUGAGGAUUUUAUUUGUGCGUAAAGUAAAUGAUCCUAUCUGCUUGAGUAAUCUCUGUUAUGUGUUAACCAUAGAGUUAUGCUCCAAUGUUAUAGGAUCACAUUUAUUUUAUGAUUCAAAAACUUUGCUAGGAUUCAUAUAAUCAAUGGCUAGUGUUUCUUUGAAAACGAGAUUGAACUGAAUUGGACUAUAACAAUACGAAUGAGCUUGCAAUGGGACUUAAUUAAGGCAC